GUCAAGUCCUCAUGGCCUUUAUGACUAGGGCUGCACACGUCCUACAAUGGCGCGCACAAAGGGACGCCAAGUCGCGAGACCAAGCAAAUCCCAAAAAACGCGCCCCAGUUCGGAUUGCAGGCUGCAACUCGCCUGCAUGAAGCCGGAAUCGCUAGUAAUCGCGGAUCAGAAUGCCGCGGUGAAUGUCGUUCCUGAGCCUU
RNAcentral lists this ribosomal RNA (200 nucleotides) under uncultured organism. Its description in RNAcentral is "partial small subunit ribosomal RNA". It matches the Rfam family "Bacterial small subunit ribosomal RNA", at positions 1184 to 1382 of the family's 1533-position model. The record is from RNAcentral.